AGACCUCUGACCUCAAAUCAGUAGACACCGUCG
RNAcentral lists this ribosomal RNA (33 nucleotides) under Ganoderma lucidum. RNAcentral describes it as "partial 28S ribosomal RNA". Lineage: Eukaryota; Fungi; Basidiomycota; Agaricomycetes; Polyporales; Polyporaceae. The record is from RNAcentral.